This 484-nucleotide ribosomal RNA is filed under the name uncultured bacterium. RNAcentral's name for it is "partial 16S ribosomal RNA". It matches the Rfam family "Bacterial small subunit ribosomal RNA", at positions 30 to 507 of the family's 1533-position model. The record is from RNAcentral.
AGUGAACGCUGGCGGCAGGCCUAACACAUGCAAGUCGAGCGGAUGAAGGGAGCUUGCUCCUGGAUUCAGCGGCGGACGGGUGGGUGAUGCCUAGGAAUAUGCCUGUUUGCGGUGGAUAACGUCCGGAAACGGGCGCUAAUACCGCAUACGUCCUGACGGAGAAAGGGGGGGAUCUUCGGACCUCACGCUAUCAGAUGAGCCUAGGUCGGAUUAGCUAGUUGGUGGGGUAAAGGGCUACCAAGGCGGCGAUCCGUAACUGGGUUGAGAGGAUGAUCAGUCAACAUGGGACUGGAGAACGGGCCCAGCUUCUACGGGAGGGCAGCGUGGGGAAUUAUGGGACAAGGGGCGAAAGCUGAUUCAGGCCAGCCGGGGGGGGUGAGGAAGUCUUCGGAGUGGUAAAGCCUUUUGUUGGGGAAGAAAAGCAGUAGGUUAAUACCUCGCUGUUUUGACGGUACCCAAAGAAUAAGCACCGGCUAACUUCGUG